RNAcentral lists this unclassified non-coding RNA (542 nucleotides) under plant metagenome. RNAcentral describes it as "partial contains small subunit ribosomal RNA, internal transcribed spacer 1, and 5.8S ribosomal RNA". The record is from RNAcentral.
GAUCCGUAGGUGAACCUGCGGAUGGAUCAUUAACACUUAAAUCCACAAAACAAACAAAAAAAAUACAAAACGGAUGGCUUUUUCUUUUGGGAAAAGUUGUCUUGUUUUUGUUUUUUUUGUUUUUAACAAAACACAAACAUAGCGAACUUGUCAACGGUUUGAGGAAUUAUUUUACAUGGGAAGUUUUGCUUCUUUUCCUGAUUGAGACGUGGUUGGGUUCAUCCUAAUAACAUCCAAGCUUGAUCAGAAAUUGGACACUCUUCUCUUCUUCCUCAAAUUCGUUCGUUUUUUCUUCUCUCCUAUCACUUUUUAUUAUUCUAUCACUUCCUGUUGAUUGUGAUUGUGAUUGUGAUUGUGAUUGUGAUGGAUCAUACAUCUUUUUUGUGUGUGAUCAAUCAUCAAUCAUCAAUCAUCAAUCAUCAAUCAACAAUCAACAAUCAUAGGAAUGCAAUGAAAUAACUUGACUGAGAAUCUUUGUCUUGAAUGACAUAAAACUUUUAAAUAAGAAAAUACAACUUUUAACAACGGAUAUCUUGGCUCUC